UACGAAGGGGGCUAGCGUUGCUCGGAAUCACUGGGCGUAAAGGGUGCGUAGGCGGGUCUUUAAGUCAGGGGUGAAAUCCUGGAGCUCAACUCCAGAACUGCCUUUGAUACUGAAGGUCUUGAGUAUGGGAGAGGUGAGUGGAACUGCGAGUGUAGAGGUGAAAUUCGUAGAUAUUCGCAAGAACACCAGUGGCGAAGGCGGCUCACUGGCCCAUUACUGACGCUGAGGCACGAAAGCGUGGGGAGCAAACAGG
RNAcentral lists this ribosomal RNA (253 nucleotides) under uncultured bacterium. RNAcentral's name for it is "partial 16S ribosomal RNA". It matches the Rfam family "Bacterial small subunit ribosomal RNA", at positions 524 to 776 of the family's 1533-position model. The record is from RNAcentral.